This 383-nucleotide long non-coding RNA is filed under the name Setaria viridis. Its description in RNAcentral is "long non-coding RNA (SVIR_LNC009268)". The record is from RNAcentral. Lineage: Eukaryota; Viridiplantae; Streptophyta; Magnoliopsida; Poales; Poaceae.
GGGGGGUGGCACUGGCGAUCUAAGACUGGAUUGCGACGAUGCUCGAGAGUAGGGUUUUUUUCACGAGGGUAGAUAGCAGAUGGCAAAUGAUAGAGUAAACGGGAGGGGUAACUUCUCCCGUCCCUUUAUAACAGUGGGGAGUUAACAGAGGUAAUGGCCUGAUGUUUUCGCACUUGUUUGCCAGUUACCAGAUUUAUCGCAAGUGAUAGAAUUGACUGUUGGCAAACGGUCAUGAUGACCAGUGGUUGACCCUUAUACCUCCUGGGGCUAGUCGUGUAACGGCUUAGGGGUUGCGUAGACCAUACCCGUUGGUUAAAAAAUUUCUUUUUCUUCAAGAUCAAGAUGAAGACAAUACAAAUGCAGAUUGAUCCUCAGCCUGAUUC